AAAGCACCCCGGAAGGGGAGUGAAAUAGAACCUGAAACCGUGUGCCUACAACAAGUCAAAGCCCGUUAAUGGGUGAUGGCGUGCCUUUUGUAGAAUGAACCGGCGAGUUACGAUUGCAUGCGAGGUUAAGUUGAAGAGACGGAGCCGCAGCGAAAGCGAGUCUGAAUAGGGCGUUUGAGUAUGUAGUCGUAGACCCGAAACCAUGUGAUCUACCCAUGUCCAGGUUGAAGGUGCGGUAAAACGCACUGGAGGACCGAACCCACGUACGUUGAAAAGUGCGGGGAUGAGGUGUGGGUAGCGGAGAAAUUCCAAACGAACUUGGAGAUAGCUGGUUCUCUCCGAAAUAGCUUUAGGGCUAGCCUCGGAAUUGAGAAUGAUGGAGGUAGAGCACUGUUUGGACUAGGGGCCCAUCUCGGGUUACCGAAUUCAGAUAAACUCCGAAUGCCAUUCAUUCAUAUCCGGGAGUCAGACUGUGAGUGAUAAGAUCCAUAGUCGAAAGGGAAACAGCCCAGACCACCAGCUAAGGUCCCAAAAUAUAUGUUAAGUGGAAAAGGAUGUGGGGUUGCACAGACAACUAGGAUGUUGGCUUAGAAGCAGCCACCAUUUAAAGAGU
RNAcentral lists this ribosomal RNA (613 nucleotides) under Enterococcus faecium. RNAcentral describes it as "partial 23S ribosomal RNA". It matches the Rfam family "Bacterial large subunit ribosomal RNA", at positions 518 to 1131 of the family's 2925-position model. Lineage: Bacteria; Bacillati; Bacillota; Bacilli; Lactobacillales; Enterococcaceae. The record is from RNAcentral.